RNAcentral lists this long non-coding RNA (517 nucleotides) under Eucalyptus grandis. RNAcentral's name for it is "long non-coding RNA (EGRA_LNC007440)". Lineage: Eukaryota; Viridiplantae; Streptophyta; Magnoliopsida; Myrtales; Myrtaceae. The record is from RNAcentral.
UAAAAUCGAACACAAGGACCUCCACGGACCGCGUCAUCGAGUGCACGAGUCAAAAAGCCUGUGCGAUCAGUGAAAACUUACGAAUCAGGAGCGCAGACUCGGACGCGGUAUCUGUCGGCUGCGACGAGGGCGCGAACCAGGGCGCGCAGGCCGGGGGCGUCGAUGCCGUCGUCGUUGGUGACCAGGACCGUCGGCCGCUCGUCGGAGCUCCGGCCGGUGACGCCGUCCAUCGCCGGGAAAAAGAGAGAGAGUGGGGGAACGGGGCGGCCGGCGAGCUGAUCGGCGGUCGGACGGCGCGAGUUCAGAGCGAACUGCGAGGGGAGUGCUGAUGAAUGAAGCGAUUUUCAAAGAUUCGCGCAGGGAACGGCAUCAAAGUUCUAAGCAAUUAUAGCCCAACUUGGACGUGCAUCGGAUUCGAGUCAUCGGAAUUAAGUUCCGGUAAAAUGUUCGUUUUUUUUUUUACACAUUUUUUUUAUUGAUUGAUACUGGUAAAAAUGUACAUUUACCUAAAACUAAU